RNAcentral lists this ribosomal RNA (457 nucleotides) under uncultured bacterium. Its description in RNAcentral is "bacterial SSU rRNA". It matches the Rfam family "Bacterial small subunit ribosomal RNA", at positions 29 to 524 of the family's 1533-position model. The record is from RNAcentral.
AACGAACGCUGGCGGCAUGCCUAACACAUGCAAGUCGAACGGGAUCCUAGCUUGCUAGGUGAGAGUGGCGGACGGGUGAGUAACACGUGGGAAUCUGCCUUUUGGUUCGGGAUAACCGCGGGAAACUGCGGCUAAUACCGAAUGCCCUCGAGAGAGGAAAGAUUUAUCGCCAGAAGAGGAGCCCGCGUCCGAUUAGGUAGUUGGUGGGGUAAAGGCCUACCAAGCCGACGAUCGGUAGCUGGUCUGAGAGGAUGAUCAGCCACACUGGGACUGAGAUACGGCCCAGACUCCUACGGGAGGCAGCAGUGGGGAAUAUUGGACAAUGGGGGCAACCCUGAUCCAGCAAUGCCGCGUGAGUGAUGAAGGCCUUAGGGUUGUAAAGCUCUUUUGCCAGGGAAGAUGAUGACUGUACCUGGAGAAUAAGCCCGGCUAACUUCGUGCCAGCAGCCACGGUAAU